RNAcentral lists this ribosomal RNA (1499 nucleotides) under Weissella confusa. Its description in RNAcentral is "bacterial SSU rRNA". It matches the Rfam family "Bacterial small subunit ribosomal RNA". The record is from RNAcentral. Lineage: Bacteria; Bacillati; Bacillota; Bacilli; Lactobacillales; Lactobacillaceae.
GAUGAACGCUGGCGGCGUGCCUAAUACAUGCAAGUCGAACGCUUUGUGGUUCAACUGAUUUGAAGAGCUUGCUCAGAUAUGACGAUGGACAUUGCAAAGAGUGGCGAACGGGUGAGUAACACGUGGGAAACCUACCUCUUAGCAGGGGAUAACAUUUGGAAACAGAUGCUAAUACCGUAUAACAAUGACAACCGCAUGGUUGUUAUUUAAAAGAUGGUUCUGCUAUCACUAAGAGAUGGUCCCGCGGUGCAUUAGCUAGUUGGUAAGGUAAUGGCUUACCAAGGCGAUGAUGCAUAGCCGAGUUGAGAGACUGAUCGGCCACAAUGGGACUGAGACACGGCCCAUACUCCUACGGGAGGCAGCAGUAGGGAAUCUUCCACAAUGGGCGAAAGCCUGAUGGAGCAACGCCGCGUGUGUGAUGAAGGGUUUCGGCUCGUAAAACACUGUUGUAAGAGAAGAAUGACAUUGAGAGUAACUGUUCAAUGUGUGACGGUAUCUUACCAGAAAGGAACGGCUAAAUACGUGCCAGCAGCCGCGGUAAUACGUAUGUUCCAAGCGUUAUCCGGAUUUAUUGGGCGUAAAGCGAGCGCAGACGGUUAUUUAAGUCUGAAGUGAAAGCCCUCAGCUCAACUGAGGAAUUGCUUUGGAAACUGGAUGACUUGAGUGCAGUAGAGGAAAGUGGAACUCCAUGUGUAGCGGUGAAAUGCGUAGAUAUAUGGAAGAACACCAGUGGCGAAGGCGGCUUUCUGGACUGUAACUGACGUUGAGGCUCGAAAGUGUGGGUAGCAAACAGGAUUAGAUACCCUGGUAGUCCACACCGUAAACGAUGAGUGCUAGGUGUUUGAGGGUUUCCGCCCUUAAGUGCCGCAGCUAACGCAUUAAGCACUCCGCCUGGGGAGUACGACCGCAAGGUUGAAACUCAAAGGAAUUGACGGGGACCCGCACAAGCGGUGGAGCAUGUGGUUUAAUUCGAAGCAACGCGAAGAACCUUACCAGGUCUUGACAUCCCUUGACAACUCCAGAGAUGGAGCGUUCCCUUCGGGGACAAGGUGACAGGUGGUGCAUGGUUGUCGUCAGCUCGUGUCGUGAGAUGUUGGGUUAAGUCCCGCAACGAGCGCAACCCUUAUUACUAGUUGCCAGCAUUCAGUUGGGCACUCUAGUGAGACUGCCGGUGACAAACCGGAGGAAGGUGGGGAUGACGUCAAAUCAUCAUGCCCCUUAUGACCUGGGCUACACACGUGCUACAAUGGGAAGUACAACGAGUUGCCAACCCGCGAGGGUGAGCUAAUCUCUUAAAGUACGUCUCAGUUCGGAUUGUAGGCUGCAACUCGCCUACAUGAAGUCGGAAUCGCUAGUAAUCGCGGAUCAGCACGCCGCGGUGAAUACGUUCCCGGGUCUUGUACACACCGCCCGUCACACCAUGAGAGUUUGUAACACCCAAAGCCGGUGGGGUAACCUUCGGGAGCCAGCCGUCUAAGGUGGGACAGAUGAUUAGGGUG